CACUCGCGCAGCCGCCUCCGCUCUCCAACCCUCUCCCCGAUCUCUCCCUUCCCUCGUACCUCGCCGCCCCAUCCACAUCGCGCCGCCGCCGCCCCUCAAACCUCGCCGCCGCGGACCUCUCUCACGCCCACGUUCUUCCUCCCGCGCUCCUACCCCUUCUUCCCCAGCCGCCGCCGCCGCCCCCAUCCCCCCCGUCACGCCGUCGCGGGUCUCCUCGCGCAAGCGCACGACCUCGCCAUCCCUGGGACGAUCUGGGCCGGCGCGCUUCUGGACGAUCUGGGGCGUCGAGCUUGGCCCUCGCCAUCCCUGGGAGGGCGUUGGUGAGCGCCAAGCCGUCAUCCUCGUGUCGACCUGCCCCUCCCGGUGCGCUUGGUAGCCCGACGACUCGACCGUGGUGUCCACGUUGGCACGCGGUGGGCUCAAGUGGCCCUUCCCGCCGCCGUCGCCGGCAAGCUCAUCCGCGCGCUCAUGGCGCGGCAGCACGGCUCCGUCAAGCCCAAUGAGGCAUCCAUCCCCGAGGGCAGCGAGCCGAACCUGGGCGGAGCCGCCGCCAGGGGGCGUACCGGCGAGGGGCUGCGUCCACCUUGCCGUCGAGUGCCUCCUCCCCUCCGGCCGCCCCGAUUCCCUCUUCAUCCUCCAGCUCCAGCCCAACCCCGACACCCCGGACGUCAAGCGGGCCUUCCGUCACCUCGCCAACCUCCUGGCCCCUCGGCGCGAUCCCCAUCCCCGGCUGACACCGCCCUUCGCGCCGUUGAAGAGGCCUUCGCCCACCUCUUCGAGAGCGCCUCCACCAGCGCCGGUUUCGCUCCUGCUGCUCCCGGCGGCGUCUCCGUCCUAGAGAUGUGCUCUGGACGGUCUGCCCCCACUGCUGCCAUGUGCACGAGUACGAGCGCAUGCUGGUGGGGCGUUUGCUUGGGUGCUCGAACCCCUGGUUCAUGUGCGUGUUCGUGGCUACCUAGCCCGUGCGUCUGCCCUCUCCCUGCUCGCCGGUCGCCGCCGCUCGGGUUGUUCGCAGGCUAAGCCACGGAUUGUGUACGAAAUAUUCACAGCAAAGCAACGAAAAAAGUCUCUCUACCUGGGUUAAGAAAUUCAGAACUUUACAGUGAGCAGGAGAAUGUGGACCUUAUAAGGUCUAUACAUGCAAGAUUCAGGAAUUGGAAACGGAAGUAACAUGGCAGAAGUUCUCCACUGGGCUCAAGGGGAUGAAUCGGUUAACUACAGAGAGCUUCAACAUGGUGGCAACCUGGAAGUGAGAGGAAGUGGAAGGAUAUAAGGUAGCUUCUGCAGAAUCCAAUAUACUUGGAGUCCACAUCCAAGAUCAAAGCAUCUAGCUCUGUUCACUCAGGUUCUCAGGAGUAUCUCACAAAUGAGUCAUCAUAGGUGAGAGAUGUCUCAUCCAGCCGGACGAUAUUAUUGACCAUUUAAUAGCAGCUGACCAACAGUUUUAGUAAUUAGAGAAGAAGACAAUUCCACAGAAGCAAAGCCAGUGCAUUGGUUGGGAGCUAAAUUAGCAGGCAUGCUACCUAUACUAAAUACAUGUUGUGCUUCAUCUCCCUUCUGUCCUUCUAUGUAUUGAACUCAUUGGCAUAUGAUGUAACCUGUUAAUAUUCUUAAUGAAAUCACCCAUAAUGGGCAUUUUUCUUAAAUAAAAGAUUACAGUAUACCAUGACUAAGGCUUCAUACAGGAUUGUGUCUCCCUUGGUGUUAUUUGCAACAGCUGAGUAGCUCCGGAGAGUGUCAACAUAUGUGCCCAAACUCAGUAGAACAAGCACUAACGAUAGCAGAACUUGAAAAAUCGAGGAGAUGGCUGCUCUCACCAUAUAGUUCAAAGGUUCACUAUCCAAUGAUGCUAUUUAUGUUUAGGGUACUUAUUGUAUAACUGGUUAUAACAGAUAUGUUGUUUUAUGAUGACAUAUCUUUAGGAAAGAACAUAUUCAAAUAGAGAAAUUUUGCUGUGUUAGAUUUUUAUUAUUACCAAGUAUACGAGUUUGCUCUAUCUGGUUGUCUCAAAGUAUAACAGUUAUACGAGAAUAUGAUAAUCAAUUGCAUGUUUGUGAAGAACAGAGCCCUGUAGGUGUGGCAGUAUGGCCUCUUUCUAGAGACAUACUUGACUGCUUAUUAAGUUGUGGGUUGUUUUUUGACAGAUAUAUUUUCUCACUUUCUUACAACAACUUAGUCUCCAGUUAUUUUACAAGUCUGGUUCGCAAGUGUUGUUUCGUUCCAUCUCCAGUUUGAUUAUUGUUUUUUUUGGCGAGAAAAUUUCUGAUCUAUUCAUCAACUGUCAAGGCAGUACAAUUCCUAUUUUUAUUUUUUAAACAGGGUUCCUAGAUCAAAUUGUCUGGGCUGGGACAAGAAAAGGAACAUGCUCUUGACUGAGCGCGGGCCGCGGAGAUGGUGAGGAUGCCGAGCUGUCUGCGGCAUGGUCGUUGCUCCUCCGGACUUGGUAGGAGGAGUGAGGAGGUCGAUCCAUCCUCGGCUUCGUUGUCGUCGUGCGUCCGUCAAGAGAUGCUCGCGCGCCGGGAGACGAAUCCACAUCUGCUCCUGCUCGACUGCUUCCAAAUCGAGUGACGCAUGCUUCUGCUUGCUAUGGAGGCCGCUGCUCUGAUCCGCUCCAACUGCCAGCGAUGUUCCUCCUCAAGGUCAAGGCAGGCUGGGUGGGCUCCUCGUCGGCGUCGGCUUUCCCUGCCUGCCACUGCUUUCUGAUGGAGCGGACCUUUGGAUGCUCCUGUGCCUCUGGUGGUGGGCUAGGUUGGAACUGCUCUGUUGGAUCCUUACCUUUCUUUUGCAGCGACACUGAAUGGUUUGGCUGGUCCACAAUACAGUCUCAGGGAUGGAUGGUCAAGUUGUAUAUGGCUUCCACCAUGUACGAGAUGAAAAGCCAUAUCUUGCUCAAGGACCAGUUGCAAAUAAGGGUAGUUAAAGAGUGGAUGCCCAACUGCUCUGAUGUAGGCCGCUCCGAAUCAAUUAUCCGAUAUAUGGCAUCUCUUGAAGGAUUCUCAGUGGUCUCAUGCCUCUCUGUCAGGAUUCUCCCAGUUUGAAAGAGGGUGUGUGAGAACAUCUCCAUUGUCCUCUGCAGUAACAAGGUUUCUGUGAAGAACUGGCAGGUUAAAGCCAAGAGCAACUACAACUAGGAGAAGCCCUUCCUUUACCUUGCAAGGAAGCUGGCUGGCACAAAGCUGAGCAUGCGGCGCGGUUACUGCCUGAUGACCAUGACAAUCUGAUCGAGUAGAUCAAUCAUGAGUUCUAUCAUACUUUGAGCCAAAUCUUCGUGCUUUUUUCUUUUAUUUGGUUAUACUGUGUAAAUAGGAAUCAAUAAUAAAAGUAGAUGGUACAAAGUUAAUAUAUAUCUUCAUUUGUCCAUUGGUCUUGCGAAGCAAGUUAAUAUAUAUCUUCAUUGGUCUUGCGAAGCAAGUUAAUAUAUAUCUUCAUUUAUAUAGCAUCUCUGGUGUUCCAUUAUGUUCAGCUUGGUCCCUUAGUUACUUUCUCGGCCCUCUUGGCUGCCACCGAAUGGAUUUUUAUAUUUUUGUAUAUCUUGCUCAGUGUCCUAUGCUCCAUAUACGCUUUUCUAUAUAUUAAAACAGUUGCAUGAAAGUGAUACAUAUAUGUGAUGAUCUCUGACUUGACCUGUGCUGGGAUUACUCCUGCAGCAGUCAGUAUCCAGUACAACGGGUUCUGGGACGUGGGGUGGAGUAGCUACGACGGGGAGGAGCCCUGCGAUGACCUCAAGCCUACUACCGCUACCACCAGCAUCAAGUCAGAAAAGGAAGACUGCUUUUUUAUGGGGAGAGGUUUAAUUGUUUCAACCAAGUCAAAGGCAAAAGGAAGGCACACAUCUGCUUCCCUCCUGGUGUUCACAUAUACUGUUGAUGUUGAAAUAAUUAUUGAAGACUGAACUAUAGAAAGAUGGGAUUAGAAUUAGGAGAUAUGUAAAUAUGUAAUUUCUCUCGAAGAUGGGCUCAGAAUUAGAAGAACCAUAUCUGUUGAUCUCUUUCACUAUCGUUAGGACCAACUUUUUUAUAUCAUGAUACAUUUUCCAUGUUCAAAUUCCUAAAGCACUGAAGAGAGGUUUCAAUUUCCUAAUAGUACAUGUUCAAAUUGUUGUUGUAUGUGACCUUAGAUAGAAGGAUGUGCACUUGUGAUUA
Triticum dicoccoides is the source of this 4142-nucleotide RNA transcript. RefSeq lists it as uncharacterized. Lineage: Eukaryota; Viridiplantae; Streptophyta; Magnoliopsida; Poales; Poaceae. The record is from RefSeq and is a predicted model, not a curated record. The transcript is spliced from 13 exons.